AGAGUUUGAUCCUGGCUCAGAACGAACGCUGGCGGCAUGCCUAACACAUGCAAGUCGAACGUGAAGCCGCCCUUCGGGGCGGUGGAAAGUGGCGCACGGGUGAGUAACGCGUGGGAACCUGCCCCUUGGUAUGGGAUAACCGUGGGAAACUGCGGCUAAUACCGUAUACGCCCUGAGGGGGAAAGAUUUAUCGCCGAGGGAGGGGCCCGCGUCGGAUUAGGUAGUUGGUGGGGUAACGGCCUACCAAGCCGACGAUCCGUAGCUGGUCUUAGAGGACGGUCAGCCACACUGGGACUGAGACACGGCCCAGACUCCUACGGGAGGCAGCAGUGGGGAAUAUUGGACAAUGGGGGAAACCCUGAUCCAGCAAUGCCGCGUGGGUGACGAAGGCCUUAGGGUUGUAAAGCCCUUUCGGCGGGGAAGAUGAUGACGGUACCCGCAGAAGAAGCCCCGGCUAACUCCGUGCCAGCAGCCGCGGUAAUACGGAGGGGGCUAGCGUUGUUCGGAAUUACUGGGCGUAAAGGGCGUGUAGGCGGCCCGUCAAGUCAGGCGUGAAAGCCCUGGGCUUAACCUAGGAGGUGCGCUUGAAACUGAUGGGCUUGAGGCCGGGAGAGGAGAGUGGAAUUCCCAGUGUAGAGGUGAAAUUCGU
RNAcentral lists this ribosomal RNA (649 nucleotides) under uncultured bacterium. Its description in RNAcentral is "bacterial SSU rRNA". It matches the Rfam family "Bacterial small subunit ribosomal RNA", at positions 8 to 691 of the family's 1533-position model. The record is from RNAcentral.